GCUKUACAACCSGAAGGCCUUCUUCRCUCACGSGGAAUGGCUGGAUCAGGGUUGCCCCCAUUGKCMARAAUUCCCCACUGCUGCCUCCCGUAGGAGUSUGGACCGKGUCUCAGUUCCAGKGKGACGGAUCAUCCUCUCAGACCCGCUACUGAUCGUCGCCUUGGUAGGMCUUUACCCCACCAACUAGCUAAUCAGACGUCGGCCGCUCGAAUAACGUGAGGUCUUACGAUCCCCCACUUUCCCCCUCAGGGCGUAUGCGGUAUUAGCACAGCUUUCGCUGCGKUAUCCCCCAUUACUCGGUACGUUCCGACGCAUUACUCACCCGUUCGCCACUCGCCACCAGGAGCAAGCUCCCGUGCUGCCGUUCGACUUGCAUGUGUAAAGCAUUCCGCCAGCGUUCAAUCUGAGCCAGGAUCAAACUCUAAUCACUAGUGAAUUCGCGGCCGCCUGCASGUCGACCAUAUGGGAGAGCUCCCAACG
This 480-nucleotide ribosomal RNA is filed under the name uncultured beta proteobacterium. Its description in RNAcentral is "partial 16S ribosomal RNA". The record is from RNAcentral. Lineage: Bacteria; Pseudomonadati; Pseudomonadota; Betaproteobacteria.